This 2931-nucleotide ribosomal RNA is filed under the name Escherichia coli. RNAcentral's name for it is "bacterial LSU rRNA". It matches the Rfam family "Bacterial large subunit ribosomal RNA". The record is from RNAcentral. Lineage: Bacteria; Pseudomonadati; Pseudomonadota; Gammaproteobacteria; Enterobacterales; Enterobacteriaceae.
GGGUUGUGAGGUUAAGCGACUAAGCGUACACGGUGGAUGCCCUGGCAGUCAGAGGCGAUGAAGGACGUGCUAAUCUGCGAUAAGCGUCGGUAAGGUGAUAUGAACCGUUAUAACCGGCGAUUUCCGAAUGGGGAAACCCAGUGUGAUUCGUCACACUAUCAUUAACUGAAUCCAUAGGUUAAUGAGGCGAACCGGGGGAACUGAAACAUCUAAGUACCCCGAGGAAAAGAAAUCAACCGAGAUUCCCCCAGUAGCGGCGAGCGAACGGGGAGCAGCCCAGAGCCUGAAUCAGUGUGUGUGUUAGUGGAAGCGUCUGGAAAGGCGCGCGAUACAGGGUGACAGCCCCGUACACAAAAAUGCACAUACUGUGAGCUCGAUGAGUAGGGCGGGACACGUGGUAUCCUGUCUGAAUAUGGGGGGACCAUCCUCCAAGGCUAAAUACUCCUGACUGACCGAUAGUGAACCAGUACCGUGAGGGAAAGGCGAAAAGAACCCCGGCGAGGGGAGUGAAAAAGAACCUGAAACCGUGUACGUACAAGCAGUGGGAGCACGCUUAGGCGUGUGACUGCGUACCUUUUGUAUAAUGGGUCAGCGACUUAUAUUCUGUAGCAAGGUUAACCGAAUAGGGGAGCCGAAGGGAAACCGAGUCUUAACUGGGCGUUAAGUUGCAGGGUAUAGACCCGAAACCCGGUGAUCUAGCCAUGGGCAGGUUGAAGGUUGGGUAACACUAACUGGAGGACCGAACCGACUAAUGUUGAAAAAUUAGCGGAUGACUUGUGGCUGGGGGUGAAAGGCCAAUCAAACCGGGAGAUAGCUGGUUCUCCCCGAAAGCUAUUUAGGUAGCGCCUCGUGAAUUCAUCUCCGGGGGUAGAGCACUGUUUCGGCAAGGGGGUCAUCCCGACUUACCAACCCGAUGCAAACUGCGAAUACCGGAGAAUGUUAUCACGGGAGACACACGGCGGGUGCUAACGUCCGUCGUGAAGAGGGAAACAACCCAGACCGCCAGCUAAGGUCCCAAAGUCAUGGUUAAGUGGGAAACGAUGUGGGAAGGCCCAGACAGCCAGGAUGUUGGCUUAGAAGCAGCCAUCAUUUAAAGAAAGCGUAAUAGCUCACUGGUCGAGUCGGCCUGCGCGGAAGAUGUAACGGGGCUAAACCAUGCACCGAAGCUGCGGCAGCGACGCUUAUGCGUUGUUGGGUAGGGGAGCGUUCUGUAAGCCUGUGAAGGUGUACUGUGAGGUAUGCUGGAGGUAUCAGAAGUGCGAAUGCUGACAUAAGUAACGAUAAAGCGGGUGAAAAGCCCGCUCGCCGGAAGACCAAGGGUUCCUGUCCAACGUUAAUCGGGGCAGGGUGAGUCGACCCCUAAGGCGAGGCCGAAAGGCGUAGUCGAUGGGAAACAGGUUAAUAUUCCUGUACUUGGUGUUACUGCGAAGGGGGGACGGAGAAGGCUAUGUUGGCCGGGCGACGGUUGUCCCGGUUUAAGCGUGUAGGCUGGUUUUCCAGGCAAAUCCGGAAAAUCAAGGCUGAGGCGUGAUGACGAGGCACUACGGUGCUGAAGCAACAAAUGCCCUGCUUCCAGGAAAAGCCUCUAAGCAUCAGGUAACAUCAAAUCGUACCCCAAACCGACACAGGUGGUCAGGUAGAGAAUACCAAGGCGCUUGAGAGAACUCGGGUGAAGGAACUAGGCAAAAUGGUGCCGUAACUUCGGGAGAAGGCACGCUGAUAUGUAGGUGAAGUCCCUCGCGGAUGGAGCUGAAAUCAGUCGAAGAUACCAGCUGGCUGCAACUGUUUAUUAAAAACACAGCACUGUGCAAACACGAAAGUGGACGUAUACGGUGUGACGCCUGCCCGGUGCCGGAAGGUUAAUUGAUGGGGUCAGCGCAAGCGAAGCUCUUGAUCGAAGCCCCGGUAAACGGCGGCCGUAACUAUAACGGUCCUAAGGUAGCGAAAUUCCUUGUCGGGUAAGUUCCGACCUGCACGAAUGGCGUAAUGAUGGCCAGGCUGUCUCCACCCGAGACUCAGUGAAAUUGAACUCGCUGUGAAGAUGCAGUGUACCCGCGGCAAGACGGAAAGACCCCGUGAACCUUUACUAUAGCUUGACACUGAACAUUGAGCCUUGAUGUGUAGGAUAGGUGGGAGGCUUUGAAGUGUGGACGCCAGUCUGCAUGGAGCCGACCUUGAAAUACCACCCUUUAAUGUUUGAUGUUCUAACGUUGACCCGUGAUCCGGGUUGCGGACAGUGUCUGGUGGGUAGUUUGACUGGGGCGGUCUCCUCCUAAAGAGUAACGGAGGAGCACGAAGGUUGGCUAAUCCUGGUCGGACAUCAGGAGGUUAGUGCAAUGGCAUAAGCCAGCUUGACUGCGAGCGUGACGGCGCGAGCAGGUGCGAAAGCAGGUCAUAGUGAUCCGGUGGUUCUGAAUGGAAGGGCCAUCGCUCAACGGAUAAAAGGUACUCCGGGGAUAACAGGCUGAUACCGCCCAAGAGUUCAUAUCGACGGCGGUGUUUGGCACCUCGAUGUCGGCUCAUCACAUCCUGGGGCUGAAGUAGGUCCCAAGGGUAUGGCUGUUCGCCAUUUAAAGUGGUACGCGAGCUGGGUUUAGAACGUCGUGAGACAGUUCGGUCCCUAUCUGCCGUGGGCGCUGGAGAACUGAGGGGGGCUGCUCCUAGUACGAGAGGACCGGAGUGGACGCAUCACUGGUGUUCGGGUUGUCAUGCCAAUGGCACUGCCCGGUAGCUAAAUGCGGAAGAGAUAAGUGCUGAAAGCAUCUAAGCACGAAACUUGCCCCGAGAUGAGUUCUCCCUGACCCUUUAAGGGUCCUGAAGGAACGUUGAAGACGACGACGUUGAUAGGCCGGGUGUGUAAGCGCAGCGAUGCGUUGAGCUAACCGGUACUAAUGAACCGUGAGGCUUAACCUUACAACGCCGAAGGUGUUU